Molecule: ribosomal RNA, 460 nt
Filed under: uncultured bacterium
Lineage: Bacteria
Description: partial 16S ribosomal RNA
Rfam family: Bacterial small subunit ribosomal RNA
Source: RNAcentral
CCUACGGGAGGCAGCAGUGAGGAAUAUUGGUCAAUGGGCGUAAGCCUGAACCAGCCAAGUCGCGUGAGGGAUGAAGGUUCUAUGGAUCGUAAACCUCUUUUAUAAGGGAAUAAAGUGCGGGACGUGUCCCGUUUUGUAUGUACCUUAUGAAUAAGGAUCGGCUAACUCCGUGCCAGCAGCCGCGGUACUACGGAGGAUCCGAGCGUUAUCCGGAUUUAUUUGGUUUAAAGGGUGCGGAGGCGGCCUUUUAAGUCAGCGGUGAAAGUCUGUGGCUCAACCAUAGAAUUGCCGUUGAAACUGGGAGGAUUGAGGAUGUUUGAGGCAGGAGGAAUGCGUGGUGUAGCGGUGAAAUGCUUAGAUAUCACGCAGAACCCCGAUUGCGAAGGCAGCCUGCCAAGCCAUGACUGACGCUGAUGCACGAAAGCGUGGGGAUCAAACAGGAUUAGAUACCCCUGUAGUC